This is a long non-coding RNA of Oryza brachyantha (malo sina), 1291 nucleotides long. RefSeq lists it as uncharacterized. The transcript has 3 exons. Lineage: Eukaryota; Viridiplantae; Streptophyta; Magnoliopsida; Poales; Poaceae. The record is from RefSeq and is a predicted model, not a curated record.
GAACUAAAUCUAUCCAGGUCAAUCCACACGACUGUAGUGCUCCCAUCUUCCCAGCGAUUCUGGCGAUGCUACCGUCGUUCUCAGCGGCGGUCCCGUCAGCCCCACCGGUGAUGCUCCCCUCGACCCCAACGGAGGCUGCCCCUUGAACCCUCGCAUCACACGCUCGCUGGUCCUCUCGGCCUAAGCGACGGCAGCGGCGGCUGCCCUCAUUCCGCUGCCCCUUGAACCCUCACAUCGUCCGCGCUAGAUCCACCACCGAGAAACCACUAGCCACCGUUGCCCCCGUUCCGCUUCCCCGAGAGCGAAGACAGUGUCGGUGGAGAGGCAGCGGCGCGGUGGAGGCACAGUGCCGACGAUGGAUCUGACGCGCAUUGGAGUGGUGGUGGACGGGGACCGUGGUGGCUGGUGAUUUCUCGGUGGAGGGGCGGCGACACGGUGGAGGCAGAGGGCCAGCGGCAGAUCUAGUGGCGAGGGCGGCACGGUGGGGUGGCAGCGCAUAUCUGGCGGACGGCGGCGCGGUGGACGCGCAGGGCCAGAGGUGACGUUUUGCUUGGAUCUAGCAGACGGCACGGUGGAGCGACGGUGGAUGUGCAGGGCCGGAGCUAGCGCGGGCGGUGUGGUGAAGGGGCGACGGCGCGGUGGAGGUGCAAGGGCGACUCGUUGCAAGGGUGGAGACGUGACUUGUGGGAGAGCAGACUCAAGUUGAUCCCAACCUUUGAUUUCAAGAUGGAUUGAUAUGUACAAUUGGAUAUAAGAGGUGUGCUAUAUAGUACUGGCAUCGUCAACUGAUACAAGCUUUUGCACCACACAUUCCAUGCACAAAAGGCGGACCAAAUCAGACUGAGGAGAACGAGCCGAGAAGCGAGUUUGCAACCUUCUCUUUUUUUUAUUCUGGGUCUGCAGCGUUGGAGUUGAUAUCCUUCCCAGAAUCAAAGAGUUGUUAGAAGAAGCGACUGGCUGGUGGUCACCAAGGGAAGUGGUGGGCAAGUUGGAACAGCAGGUUUGAACUUUGGUGAAAAAUAGGCAUUUGAACUAGUACGGGCACACGUAUAAUGUAUGUAUAUGGCUUAAAAUCAGGUUGUGCUGGCAUGCAUGUAACUGUUCGACCGUUCAAUGAUCAGUUCAUGGAGUAGUAAAUGAGGGGGGAGGGGGGGGGGGACUAGUUGGUUCAUUUUCGUGGAGAUGGCAAUAUAUGCGAGAGAGACUGAUGUUAUGUUGUUAACUAACCCCAUCGUAAAUAUAUAAUAUUUAGGAUAAGAUUUAAUCAAAAUCUUCAUCAAUAGUUUGGCAU